Molecule: ribosomal RNA, 421 nt
Filed under: Olios sp. 3 YT-2018
Lineage: Eukaryota; Metazoa; Arthropoda; Arachnida; Araneae; Sparassidae
Description: partial 16S ribosomal RNA
Rfam family: Bacterial large subunit ribosomal RNA
Source: RNAcentral
GAAUUAAUUAUUAAUAAUACCUGCUCAAUGAAAUUAAAUAGCCGCAGCUCAUACUGUGCUAAGGUAGCAUAAUCAUUUGUCUUUUAAUUAAAGACUAGAAUGAAAGGUUUAACAUUUAAAUUAUUCUAAAAUAUUCUUUAUUAAAUUUAUUUUAAAUGUAAAAAAACAUUUAUUUUUAGAAAGACGACAAGACCCUAUUGAACUUUACUGAAGUUUAACUGGGGCAGUUAAUUAAUUAAUAUUUUAAUUUUCAAUAUUACAAAAAUGACCCAAUCCAAUUGAUUAAAUGAUCAAGCUACCAUAGGGAUAACAGCGUAAUAUUUUUUUAUAGAUCGUAUUUAAAAAAAUGAUUACGACCUCGAUGUUGAAUUAAUUUUUCUAAUAAAUGCACCCAUUUAAAAAGAAAGUCUGUUCGACUUUU